RNAcentral lists this ribosomal RNA (155 nucleotides) under Psilotum nudum. The record is from RNAcentral. Lineage: Eukaryota; Viridiplantae; Streptophyta; Polypodiopsida; Psilotales; Psilotaceae.
UUGCCGGGCACUACAGUAAGGCGUGAAACACCCGAUCCCAUUCCGACUUCCCAACAAACUCUUUAUUUAAAAGAGGUUCAAAGCGACGCCAUAUGUACUGGGAAUUAUCGGGAGACGUGGUUUUCCCCCCACCCACAGAAAACGGGUCCCCGUAA